This 317-nucleotide long non-coding RNA is filed under the name Mytilus galloprovincialis (Mediterranean mussel). The record is from RNAcentral. Lineage: Eukaryota; Metazoa; Mollusca; Bivalvia; Mytilida; Mytilidae.
CAAAGUAAGAUUUACAAAUAAGUCAACAUGACCGAAAUGGUCAAUUGACCCCCUUAGGAGUUAUUGUUCUUUAUAGUCAAUUUUUAACAAUUUUCAUAAAAUUUGUAAAUUUUUACUAACAUUUUCCACUGAAACUAAUGGGCCAAGUUCAUUAUAGAUAGAAAUAAUUUUAAGCAGCAAGAAUGUUCAGUAAAGUAAGAUGUACAAACACAUCACCAUCACCAAAACACAAUUUUGUCAUGAAUCCAUCUGCUUCCUUUAAUAUUCACAUAGACCAAGGUGAGCGACACAGGCUCUUUAGAGCCUCUAGUUUCAAA